Molecule: transfer RNA, 72 nt
Filed under: Marmota monax (woodchuck)
Lineage: Eukaryota; Metazoa; Chordata; Mammalia; Rodentia; Sciuridae
Description: tRNA.Gly
Rfam family: tRNA
About the family: Transfer RNA (tRNA) molecules are approximately 80 nucleotides in length. Their secondary structure includes four short double-helical elements and three loops (D, anti-codon, and T loops).
Source: RNAcentral
UGGGGUGUAGCUUAGUGGUAGACCGCCUGCCUUCCACGCGGGAGGCCCUGGAUUCCAACCCCAGCACCAAAG